AAUUUAGAAGAAAAAGAAGACAAAGGGACUCAGGAUUUUAAAGGGUUUAAUUUUUUUAUUUAUUUUCUUUUUAGGCUUUUUAAGGAAUUUUUUUUUUAUUCUUUCCAAUGUGGUAUUUAAUGUGGCAAAUAUUUGACCAGUCAAAUAAACGCUACAUUAGUUUCAUUUGUAUCGUCACUAACAAUAUUAAAUGGAUGCUACGUCAGUUCCGUUUAUAUCAUCAUUAACAGUAUUAAAUAUUAGAUAAAAAUUCUAAUCAAC
RNAcentral lists this long non-coding RNA (261 nucleotides) under Linum usitatissimum (flax). RNAcentral's name for it is "long non-coding RNA (LUSI_LNC007110)". Lineage: Eukaryota; Viridiplantae; Streptophyta; Magnoliopsida; Malpighiales; Linaceae. The record is from RNAcentral.